UCGGUUCUUCGCAAUUGUCGGUUUUUGUAAUCCCGCCCCAGCGCGGCUCGAGGUCAAACUCGAUAACCUUCGGUCCGACCACGCCGGUGGGACUUCUCCAUGGGCCGCAGAGUGGGCUUCACGUCCUUCUGCGGCGAAAGUGGAGCGUCCCCGAAAUGAGGUUGUUACCAAUGCCAUUAGUCUCAGAAUGUAAUAGCAGGCAGCGAUGCCAAUGCAACCAAUUA
RNAcentral lists this unclassified non-coding RNA (224 nucleotides) under uncultured Xenasmataceae. RNAcentral describes it as "sequence contains ITS1". The record is from RNAcentral. Lineage: Eukaryota; Fungi; Basidiomycota; Agaricomycetes; Russulales; Xenasmataceae.